GGCGGCAUGCCUAACACAUGCAAGUCGAACGAGACCUUCGGGUCUAGUGGCGCACGGGUGCGUAACGCGUGGGAAUCUGCCCUUGGGUUCGGAAUAACAGCUAGAAAUGGCUGCUAAUACCGGAUGAUGACGUAAGUCCAAAGAUUUAUCGCCCAAGGAUGAGCCCGCGUAGGAUUAGCUAGUUGGUGAGGUAAAGGCUCACCAAGGCGACGAUCCUUAGCUGGUCUGAGAGGAUGAUCAGCCACACUGGGACUGAGACACGGCCCAGACUCCUACGGGAGGCAGCAGUGGGGAAUAUUGGACAAUGGGCGAAAGCCUGAUCCAGCAAUGCCGCGUGAGUGAUGAAGGCCUUAGGGUUGUAAAGCUCUUUUACCCGGGAUGAUAAUGACAGUACCGGGAGAAUAAGCUCCGG
RNAcentral lists this ribosomal RNA (412 nucleotides) under alpha proteobacterium BAL265. RNAcentral's name for it is "bacterial SSU rRNA". It matches the Rfam family "Bacterial small subunit ribosomal RNA", at positions 38 to 496 of the family's 1533-position model. The record is from RNAcentral. Lineage: Bacteria; Pseudomonadati; Pseudomonadota; Alphaproteobacteria.